Molecule: ribosomal RNA, 622 nt
Filed under: Aristolochia ringens
Lineage: Eukaryota; Viridiplantae; Streptophyta; Magnoliopsida; Piperales; Aristolochiaceae
Description: eukaryotic LSU rRNA
Rfam family: 5.8S ribosomal RNA (bases 153-308)
Source: RNAcentral
CCCGCCGCGCGUUCGCGGCCGGCGCCCCAGGCCCGGCACGCGACCACACGAACAAACACUCGGCGCGACAUGCGCCAAGCGAAAGACGAAGCGCGGGGACGGCCCCCGCGGCACGGCCGCGGCGUCCGACCCCGGACACGGUAACCUGACACGACUCUCGGCAACGGAUAUCUUGGCUCUCGCAUCGAUGAAGAACGUAGCGAAAUGCGAUACUUGGUGUGAAUUGCAGAAUCCCGCGAACCAUCGAGUCUUUGAACGCAAGUUGCACCCGAGGCCACUAGGUCGAGGGUACACCUGCCUGGGCGUCACGCCCGACGCGCUCUCCCCCCGCCCCGCGCCCCCCCGCCCAACCGCGGGCCGCGCGGCGCGUCGACGGGGGCGAGCAGAUUGGUCGCCCCUGCCCCCCGGGGCGAGGUUGGCUGAAAAACGCUUUGCCCCACGGGCACUUCGGCACGACGAGUGGUGGCUCCGCCCUCCCCGGCCCUGCGUGGCUCGAAGUCGUGUCCGAGGCCCAGGCUCCGCAGAAGGACCCCUGCCGGCAGUCGCCUCCGCGAGCGGAGGCCUCUGCUCGGAUUGCGACCCCAGGUCAGGUGGGAACACCCGCUGAGUUUAAGCAUAUCAA